Molecule: ribosomal RNA, 301 nt
Filed under: uncultured bacterium
Lineage: Bacteria
Description: partial 16S ribosomal RNA
Rfam family: Bacterial small subunit ribosomal RNA
Source: RNAcentral
CAGUCGCCGCGGUAAUACGUAUGUCACAAGCGUUAUCCGGAUUUAUUGGGCGUAAAGCGCGUCUAGGUGGUUAUGUAAGUCUGAUGUGAAAAUGCAGGGCUCAACUCUGUAUUGCGUUGGAAACUGUGUAACUAGAGUACUGGAGAGGUAAGCGGAACUACAAGUGUAGAGGUGAAAUUCGUAGAUAUUUGUAGGAAUGCCGAUGGGGAAGCCAGCUUACUGGACAGAUACUGACGCUGAAGCGCGAAAGCGUGGGUAGCAAACAGGAUUAGAUACCCCCGUAGUCCCUGUCUCUUAUACC